AACGCUGGCGGCAUGCCUUACACAUGCAAGUCGAACGGCAGCACGGGAGCAAUCCUGGUGGCGAGUGGCGACGGGUGAGUAAUAUAUCGGAACGUGCCCAGUCGUGGGGGAUAACGUAGCGAAAGCUACGCUAAUACCGCAUACGAUCUAUGGAUGAAAGCGGGGGAUCGCAAGACCUCGCGCAAUUGGAGCGGCCGAUAUCAGAUUAGGUAGUUGGUGAGGUAAAGGCUCACCAAGCCGACGAUCUGUAGCUGGUCUGAGAGGACGACCAGCCACACUGGGACUGAGACACGGCCCAGACUCCUACGGGAGGCAGCAGUGGGGAAUUUUGGACAAUGGGCGCAAGCCUGAUCCAGCAAUGCCGCGUGCAGGAUGAAGGCCUUCGGGUUGUAAACUGCUUUUGUACGGAACGAAACGGUGAGCUCUAAUACAGUUUGCUAAUGACGGUACCGUAAGAAUAAGCACCGGCUAACUACGUG
This 479-nucleotide ribosomal RNA is filed under the name uncultured bacterium. Its description in RNAcentral is "bacterial SSU rRNA". It matches the Rfam family "Bacterial small subunit ribosomal RNA", at positions 32 to 507 of the family's 1533-position model. The record is from RNAcentral.